GGGAACUGAAACAUCUAAGUACCCGGAGGAAAGGACAUCAAUAGAGACUUCCCUAGUAGCGGCGAGCGAACGGGAACCAGCCGAGCCUGAUGAGUGACUAGAAUGUGUUGGGAAGCACAGCCAUAGCGGGUGACAGCCCCGUAUAGGAAGCUCUGAGGGACGUAUUAAGUAGGGCGGGACACGUGAAAUCCUGUUUGAAGAUCGGAGGACCACCUCCGAAGGCUAAGUACUCCUUACUGACCGAUAGCGAACCAGUACCGUGAGGGAAAGGUGAAAAGCACCCCGACGAGGGGAGUGAAACAGUACCUGAAACCGAACGCCUACAAUCAGUUGGAGGCCCCUUGAGGGCUGACAGCGUACCUUUUGUAUAAUGGGUCAUCGACUUGGUCUUACGAGCAAGCUUAAGCCGUUAGGUGUAGGCGCAGCGAAAGCGAGUCUUAAUAGGGCGCAUGAGUUCGUGGGAUCAGACCCGAAACCGAGUGAUCUAGGCAUGACCAGGAUGAAGGUGCGGUAACACGCACUGGAGGUCCGAACCCACACCUGUUGAAAAAGGUCGGGAUGAGUUGUGCCUAGGGGUGAAAGGCCAAUCAAACUCGGAGAUAGCUGGUUCUCUGCGAAAUCUAUUUAGGUAGAGCGUCAUCCGAAUACCCCGGGGGGUAGAGCACUGGAUGGGUAAUGGGGCCCCACAGGCUUACUGAUCCUAACCAAACUCCGAAUACCCGGGAGUACUAGAUGGCAGACACACCACGGAUGCUAACGUCCGUGGUGGAGAGGGAAACAACCCUGACCUCCAGCUAAGGCCCCUAAUUCAUGGCUAAGUGGGAAAGCAGGUGGGAUGUCCAAAACAACCAGGAGGUUGGCUUAGAAGCAGCCAUCCUUUAAAGAUAGCGUAACAGCUCACUGGUCUAAAUAAGACGUCCUGCGGCGAAGAUGUAACGGGGCUCAAGCCAUGAGCCGAAGCCGAGGAUGCACAUAGUGCAUGGUAGCAGAGCGUAGUGUG
RNAcentral lists this ribosomal RNA (1000 nucleotides) under Percolomonas cosmopolitus. RNAcentral's name for it is "partial Bacterial large subunit ribosomal RNA". It matches the Rfam family "Bacterial large subunit ribosomal RNA", at positions 188 to 1245 of the family's 2925-position model. Lineage: Eukaryota; Heterolobosea; Eutetramitea; Percolomonadida; Percolomonadidae. The record is from RNAcentral.